AUGGACGCGAUGGAGUCCUCGUCGCCCUACUCGCUGCGCCAAAAGCUGCGGACCACCGUCUGCGGCUGCUUCGGAUCACCGUCGUCGCCGGUCAGCAGCGCGGGGAGGCCGCACACCGGCGGCGGCAGGGCCAGGUGGAGGCGGCGCAUGGCGGCCACGGGGGUGUUCCGGUACGACCCGCUGAGCUACGCGCUCAACUUCGACAACAGCGGUAGUGACGGCGGCGAGCGAGACACUAAGGACACCGCCUUCCACUUCCAGUACAGGAACUUCAGCUCGCGCCUGCCGCCCUUGCCGACACCGACUGCCGGGCGUGCCACCACGGUCGCCAUCGCCUGA
This 339-nucleotide ribosomal RNA is filed under the name Triticum aestivum (bread wheat). Its description in RNAcentral is "partial small subunit ribosomal RNA". The record is from RNAcentral. Lineage: Eukaryota; Viridiplantae; Streptophyta; Magnoliopsida; Poales; Poaceae.